AACGCACCUUGCGCCCUCUGGUAUUCCGGAGGGCAUGCCUGUUUGAGUGUCAUGUAGACUCAAUCCCUCGGGUUUCCGAGGAGAUUGGACUUGGGUGUUGUCGCUCUGCCGGCUCGCCUUAAAAGACUUAGCGGGAUAGCACCGUAGUCGGCGUAAUAAGUUUCGUCGGUGAAGGUUGUGAUGACUGCUUACAAUCGCCCGCGGGCAAUUUUUGACUCUGACCUCAAAUCAGGUAGGACUACCCGCUGAACUUAA
This 255-nucleotide unclassified non-coding RNA is filed under the name uncultured fungus. RNAcentral describes it as "sequence contains ITS2". The stretch from base 1 to 52 matches the Rfam family "5.8S ribosomal RNA", at positions 103 to 154 of the family's 154-position model. The record is from RNAcentral. Lineage: Eukaryota; Fungi.